Molecule: ribosomal RNA, 462 nt
Filed under: uncultured bacterium
Lineage: Bacteria
Description: partial 16S ribosomal RNA
Rfam family: Bacterial small subunit ribosomal RNA
Source: RNAcentral
GACGAACGCUGGCGGCGUGCUUAACACAUGCAAGUCGAACGGAAAGGCCCUUCGGGGUACUCGAGUGGCGAACGGGUGAGUAACACGUGGGUGAUCUGCCCUGCACUUUGGGAUAAGCCUGGGAAACUGGGUCUAAUACCGAAUAGGACCACGCGCUUCAUGGUGUGUGGUGGAAAGCUUUUGCGGUGUGGGAUGGGCCCGCGGCCUAUCAGCUUGUUGGUGGGGUAAUGGCCUACCAAGGCGACGACGGGUAGCCGGCCUGAGAGGGUGACCGGCCACACUGGGACUGAGAUACGGCCCAUACUCCUACGGGAGGCAGCAGUGGGGAAUAUUGCACAAUGGGCGCAAGCCUGAUGCAGCGACGCCGCGUGAGGGAUGACGGCCUUCGGGUUGUAAACCUCUUUCAAUAGGGACGAAGCGCAAGUGACGGUACCUAUAGAAGAAGCACCGGCCAACUACGUG